Molecule: ribosomal RNA, 301 nt
Filed under: uncultured bacterium
Lineage: Bacteria
Description: partial 16S ribosomal RNA
Rfam family: Bacterial small subunit ribosomal RNA
Source: RNAcentral
CAGUAGCCGCGGUAAUACGGAGGGUGCAAGCGUUAAUCGGAAUUACUGGGCGUAAAGCGCACGCAGGCGGUCUGACAAGUCAGAUGUGAAAUCCCCGGGCUUAACCUGGGAACUGCAUUUGAAACUGUCAGGCUGGAGUCUUGUAGAGGGGGGUGGAAUUCCAGGUGUAGCGGUGAAAUGCGUAGAGAUCUGGAGGAAUACCGAUGGCGAAGGCAGCCAUCUGGCCUAAUACUGACGCUGAGGUACGAAAGCAUGGGGAGCAAACAGGAUUAGAUACCCCUGUAGUCCCUGUCUCUUAUAC